AGACCCCUGGCAGUCUUCAAGCAGGCACUGGACAAGCACCUAAAGUCGGUUCCUGACCAGCAGGGCUGUGGCUCGUACGUUGGUUUGCGUGCAGCCAGCAGUAACAGCCUGGUUGAUCAGGCUCUGAUCCACCAGGAGGCCUGGUCACAGACCGGGCCGCGGGGGCGUUGACCCCCGGAACUCUUUCCAGGUAAACUCCAGUGACUAACAAAGUAAGGUUGUGGAGGAGUGUGAGGGAAGUCGAGGUUGUGCGACACAACACAACACUCCUGCCGCUAUGGCCGACGCUGCUGAGAAACUCUCAAAAAAGUAUUCCAGAUAACAAUAUUAAAAAUGAGGGCAAGUUUACUGAGAAGUGCCUGGAGAGCAGUGGCCUCUCUAGAGGCAGCUCGAAGGUUGUCUGCCAGGAGUCAGUUUUCCCCAUGCUUGGCAAGCAUCUUCCUGAGCAACACCACAUUGUCUUAUUCUACCAGGAGUGAGCAAAAAAGAAGAUUAAAAGCAGAAAAGAAGCACAGGAAAAAGCAGAAAAGGAAUCUGGUAAAGCUGACCAGGUCACUCCAUCAGCCAG
Molecule: non-coding RNA, 568 nt
Organism: Cherax quadricarinatus
Lineage: Eukaryota; Metazoa; Arthropoda; Malacostraca; Decapoda; Parastacidae
Source: RefSeq, a predicted model, not a curated record